This 465-nucleotide ribosomal RNA is filed under the name uncultured Klebsiella sp. RNAcentral's name for it is "bacterial SSU rRNA". It matches the Rfam family "Bacterial small subunit ribosomal RNA", at positions 338 to 795 of the family's 1533-position model. Lineage: Bacteria; Pseudomonadati; Pseudomonadota; Gammaproteobacteria; Enterobacterales; Enterobacteriaceae. The record is from RNAcentral.
CCUACGGGAGGCAGCAGUGGGGAAUAUUGCACAAUGGGCGCAAGCCUGAUGCAGCCAUGCCGCGUGUGUGAAGAAGGCCUUCGGGUUGUAAAGCACUUUCAGCGGGGAGGAAGGCGGUGAGGUUAAUAACCUCAUCGAUCGACGUUACCCGCAGAAGAAGCACCGGCUAACUCCGUGCCAGCAGCCGCGGUAAUACGGAGGGUGCAAGCGUUAAUCGGAAUUACUGGGCGUAAAGCGCACGCAGGCGGUCUGUCAAGUCGGAUGUGAAAUCCCCGGGCUCAACCUGGGGACUGCAUUCGAAACUGGCAGGCUAGAGUCUUGUAGAGGGGGGUAGAAUUCCAGGUGUAGCGGUGAAAUGCGUAGAGAUCUGGAGGAAUACCGGUGGCGAAGGCGGCCCCCUGGACAAAGACUGACGCUCAGGUGCGAAAGCGUGGGGAGCAAACAGGAUUAGAUACCCCAGUAGUC